CAGUGUCCUUUGCGCACAUUUUGCGUAC
Molecule: small RNA, 28 nt
Filed under: Bombyx mori (domestic silkworm)
Lineage: Eukaryota; Metazoa; Arthropoda; Insecta; Lepidoptera; Bombycidae
Description: ovarian small RNA-4740
Source: RNAcentral